Molecule: transfer RNA, 72 nt
Rfam family: tRNA
About the family: Transfer RNA (tRNA) molecules are approximately 80 nucleotides in length. Their secondary structure includes four short double-helical elements and three loops (D, anti-codon, and T loops).
Source: Rfam
GGGCGCUUGGUUUAGGGGUAUAACAUACCACCCGCAAUGGUAAGGUCGUGGGUUCGAUUCCCACAGUGUCCA